RNAcentral lists this ribosomal RNA (253 nucleotides) under uncultured bacterium. RNAcentral describes it as "partial 16S ribosomal RNA". It matches the Rfam family "Bacterial small subunit ribosomal RNA", at positions 524 to 776 of the family's 1533-position model. The record is from RNAcentral.
GACGUAGGGCGCGAGCGUUGUCCGGAUUUAUUGGGCGUAAAGAGCUCGUAGGCGGCUUGUUGCGUCGACCGUGAAAACCCGGGGCUCAACUUCGGGCUUGCGGUCGAUACGGGCGGGCUAGAGUUCGGUAGGGGAGACUGGAAUUCCUGGUGUAGCGGUGAAAUGCGCAGAUAUCAGGAGGAACACCGGUGGCGAAGGCGGCAUUCUGGACUACAACUGACACUGAGGAACGAAAGCCAGGGGAGCAAACGGG